UACGGAGGAUGCAAGCGUUAUCCGGAAUGAUUGGGCGUAAAGCGUCCGCAGGUGGCUGUGUAAGUCUGCUGUUAAAGAGUGAGGCUCAACCUCAUAAAGGCAGUGGAAACUACAUGGCUAGAGUGCGUUCGGGGCAGAGGGAAUUCCUGGUGUAGCGGUGAAAUGCGUAGAUAUCUGGAGGAACACCGGUGGCGAAGGCGGCAUCCUGGACCAACACUGACGCUGAGGAGCGAAAGCCAGGGGAGCAAGCGGG
This 253-nucleotide ribosomal RNA is filed under the name uncultured bacterium. Its description in RNAcentral is "partial 16S ribosomal RNA". It matches the Rfam family "Bacterial small subunit ribosomal RNA", at positions 524 to 776 of the family's 1533-position model. The record is from RNAcentral.